Strongylocentrotus purpuratus (purple sea urchin) is the source of this 236-nucleotide long non-coding RNA. RefSeq lists it as uncharacterized. NCBI's taxonomy places the organism in Eukaryota, Metazoa, Echinodermata, Echinoidea, Camarodonta, Strongylocentrotidae. The record is from RefSeq and is a predicted model, not a curated record. The transcript is spliced from 3 exons.
GCAAAAAAUCACGAAGAAGAUCAUCUUUCCAGUACAGUACAACGAUGUGCCGCAUGAGAAUCCAAAUGCCCAAUCAACUCCGACAGGAACUGCAUCGUCCAAAGGCAAAGCUGAACCAACUGAUGUUGGACGGAGAUCAUCCAAAUCAUCUCAGUUCUCCGAAGAGCUGACGAGAAGCGAGCAUCAUGAUCUUGAAACGAUAGGUUCAACAUCAUCUGAGCCUGCAGACACAAAGG